RNAcentral lists this long non-coding RNA (299 nucleotides) under Ananas comosus (pineapple). RNAcentral describes it as "long non-coding RNA (ACOM_LNC034309)". Lineage: Eukaryota; Viridiplantae; Streptophyta; Magnoliopsida; Poales; Bromeliaceae. The record is from RNAcentral.
GAGCUUGCCCCCUAGCCCUUGCAUUCUGAGGCUGGUACACUGCUACUGGAGGGGGUGGAGGUAAACCCCAAGCCAUUUCUGGCUGUUGACCGGCAUUACCGACAGCCGGUCUAUAAGCCGCUUGAUAUGGUGCCCCCUGGUAUUGGGGCUGACCACUUAUUGGUGUUACUGGAUUCUGUAACACCGGUGUCAUCACAGGCGCUUGUAGGCCUGCUAUCGGCUGUUCAUUCCGAGCUAACAACUGCCCUAUUCGGGCGAUGUUCUCAUUAGAGGCCGUGAUUGCGACCAAGACGGCAUCC